AGAGUUUGAUCAUGGCUCAGGAUGAACGCUAGCGGCAGGCUUAAUACAUGCAAGUCGAGGGGCAACAGGGGUAGCGAUACCUGCUGGCGACCGGCAAACGGGUGCGCAACACGUACAGAACCUUCCUUUAAGCGGGGGAUAGCCCAGAGAAAUUUGGAUUAAUACCCCAUGGUAUUAUCAGGUGGCAUCAUCUGAUAAUUAAAGAUUUAUCACUUAGAGAUGGCUGUGCGUCUGAUUAGGUAGUUGGUUGGGGUAAUGGCCCACCAAGCCUUCGAUCAGUAACUGGUGUGAGAGCACGACCAGUCACACGGGCACUGAGACACGGGCCCGACUCCUACGGGAGGCAGCAGUAAGGAAUAUUGGUCAAUGGACGCAAGUCUGAACCAGCCAUGCCGCGUGAAGGAUGAAGGUCCUCUGGAUUGUAAACUUCUUUUAUGUGGGAAGAAAUGCAUUCUUUAUAGAGUGUUUGACGGUACCAUAGGAAUAAGCACCGGCUAACUCCGUGCCAGCAGCCGCGGUAAUACGGAGGGUGCGAGCGUUAUCCGGAUUCACUGGGUUUAAAGGGUGCGUAGGUGGGGAAGUAAGUCAGUGGUGAAAUCUCCGUGCUUAACAUGGAAACUGCCAUUGAUACUAUUUUUCUUGAAUUUUCCGGAGGUUAGCGGAAUAUGUCAUGUAGCGGUGAAAUGCUUAGAUAUGACAUAGAACACCAAUUGCGAAGGCAGCUAACUACAGGGAUAUUGACACUGAGGCACGAAAGCGUGGGGAUCAAACAGGAUUAGAUACCCUGGUAGUCC
This 794-nucleotide ribosomal RNA is filed under the name uncultured Segetibacter sp. RNAcentral's name for it is "bacterial SSU rRNA". It matches the Rfam family "Bacterial small subunit ribosomal RNA", at positions 8 to 796 of the family's 1533-position model. The record is from RNAcentral. Lineage: Bacteria; Pseudomonadati; Bacteroidota; Chitinophagia; Chitinophagales; Chitinophagaceae.